AUUAACACGGGGAGGCGACAUGAGCGCCCCCUCUUUCCCCAUCCCGUCCCUCGCCACACACACGCGCACACGCGCGCGCGCACACACACGCACAGAGUGAGGUGGAUUUCCUGCUCAGCUCAGAUGCGUAAAGGGGCGGUCAAACGCCCCACACAUCCACCAGAGGCUGAAACAGCAGCAGCAGCAGCAGCAGCAUUUCUAUGGAGCGGACCAGGGGACGGGACGAAUGUUCUCUCACUGCAGCAGCCUGCAGUGACAUGUGGACUCGCCUGGACUUGUUAGAACCAAGCCAGAGGGCGGACCUCCCGGCUUUUCAUGCGAGGAUGCUCGUCUCUUCUUCUUUUUCAAUUUUGGUGCCACAAACAUCAACACUCAGGAGCCCCUGGCGAAGUGGUAGUUUUAUGUUCUAUUUAUUGAUUGAUUGUUUUUUCCCCCCGUGUUAUACUGUCUGUUUUGAGUUUGCUAAUUGCUAAUACGUUUAUUAAUGAGCAGCUUGAAUGACAGCUCAUUAGAUUGACUUCAUAUUUUCAUAUAUAUUUUUGACACUGAAGGCCAUGUGAAAAGGUUGAAUUAAUGUAAGUAUAAAAUCACAAUAUCCUGUUUUGAUUAUUAGCCAUCAAUUUCAUUCAUCGAGCAACUGAGAAAGGUUUUUCAUUUCUAAAAGAACAUUAACCGAAGAGCAAACCUGUCGCAAUUUUCUACAAGUUCACCUUCGCUUCUGGUCGGCAUGUUGCCACGCCACGCGAGUUGCUUUGUGGCAGAGUGGACGCACCAGUUCUUGUUAAAGCAAGUUUUUGCUAAAUGACUCAAUAGAAUCGUCAUUGGUUUGUCCGCAACAUGUGCUACUGGGAGCCACUGGAACCAUUCGUGGAAGAUUUGGCCCCUCCUACUCGCAACAACUACAGUCCUUAGAUCGAAUAUGGAACAAUAUUAUUGUUCUAAUUUAACAUUUAUUACGCUGGCCCAUUAAGUUGCCAUGUUUUCAUUUUAGUUUGUAGAGAGAGCAAUUUUAGAGGUUAACACUGUAAAUAACAAUAGAAAAUCAAGAUCUUUGCAUUUUUUUCAAGCAAUAUUUUAUGCCUAACUAUAUCCACGCAUUGAACAUUUUCAACUGUGCAAAGCAAAAAUCAUUGAGGUAUACUGAGCAGUUUGAUUGAUAUAUAUGUAUAAAUGUAUGUAUAACUGUAUAAUUUUCAACAGUUCAGUUACAUCCACAUAUUAAAAGGAUGUGAGCUCACAUUUGUACAAACCAAUGCAGUGCAAAGUGGGCAUCAUGCUGUAAACAACACCUUUUUAAUUUUUCUCUGUGUGCAUGUGUGCCUAUACUUGGCCAUACAACCCAGUCUCCCCAAUGCCCAGUGCGCUGUAUGGCUUUUUAUUCCUAUCUGACUCUACUGAUGGUUCAUAUAGGGAUGGAAGCCAUGCACCGCGCUGGAAGCACACACAACACACUGGAACAAGUGUAUUGCUGUAACCUCACACAUGCAAACACAGACGCAUACACAAAUCUAUACUGUGUAUGUGCAUAUGGGUUCAUGCGCUCAGGGGAACAGCUGUCACACAGUGAGAUAUGGACACAUUCACACAUUUAUGGUGAAUUUGUAAACCACUUCCUCAACACACAGAUCUGCCGCCACACCUCAAACAAAAUUGACAUUGAUCUCAACGAAGAGAACAAGUGGACUCUGAUGAAUCAGAUCAAUUUGAACCUGAGAAGCGGAACUCAUUCCAGGGGACCUGUCAAAAAACAACAACACAAUGAAGAACCAUUUCGUUACAGAUAUUGACCCCGCUUAGUUCUUAUUCUUGGUCCCUGUAGUGUAAAGAGACAUAGCGGCAAGUAAUUAUGACAACAACACUGUAUUUUGUCAUUCAGUGGCCAGGAACGUGAAUUUACUCAACUGUAGAUGGGGUCAGGUCUUUAUUGUAUAUCGCAGUUCAUGUCAACUGAAACUGAAGUUUAAAACUACUACUUAUAGAAACAAAGGGACUAUUAUGGUAGCGAUGCACACUGGGUCGAACAAAUGUCUCAUGCCUACCUCACCAUAAACAAGGAUGACAUAAUGUCAGCGUCUACUGGAAUACUAAAAGAUUGUCCUUAUGCAGGGAUCCAGUUUGCAAUUCAUUUUCAAUCCAUACAAUUCAAUUUAAUUCAUACGUGAGACUUUACCUGAACGUACCUUGCAGGGUGCUGCUGUUUUGGUUUGCAAUAGAGUCAAAAUGCAUGGACUCACCCUACAGUUUGAUGUCGUUUGUGAACUGAGAUAAUUACAUUUAUUGACCUCUUUUUUUCUAUAAUGGGAAAAGGGAGGCAAUUAUCCACGUAAAGUAAGUGAUGCAACCAGUGACUAAUUGGAGAGAUUAAAAACUAAUGCUAUCACUGGCAAUAUUGCUUGUAUAAAUAUUUCUGUAAUCCUAAAAUAUUGGGCUAUUAUUAUUUUCUCUUGCAUGUUAAUGUUUGGUAAGUAAAAAAUAUUUAUUAAAAAAAUGUCACAUACAGUCAAGCAUCAGUUGACAAAUCUUGAUAAAGUGGUAUUCAUAAAAAUCACUAACUGUGUUUUAAUCAUGAUAAGCCAUGGCAUUUUCCUCAUCGUGUCCCUUUGUGCAUUGCACUGUGAGAACUUUACAAUUAUGUCAUAAAGAAAAUGAUGCAAAUGAAGUUUUUUUCUAACACAAUACAAUAAAUGUUUGCCAUUUAA
Phyllopteryx taeniolatus (common seadragon) is the source of this 2699-nucleotide long non-coding RNA. RefSeq lists it as uncharacterized. Lineage: Eukaryota; Metazoa; Chordata; Actinopteri; Syngnathiformes; Syngnathidae. The transcript is spliced from 2 exons. The record is from RefSeq and is a predicted model, not a curated record.